UGUCAUCUGCAUAACGGAGGUUGCUGA
Molecule: non-coding RNA, 27 nt
Filed under: Bombyx mori (domestic silkworm)
Lineage: Eukaryota; Metazoa; Arthropoda; Insecta; Lepidoptera; Bombycidae
Source: RNAcentral